RNA transcript from Colias croceus (clouded yellow), 1344 nucleotides. It is a transcript of the gene named THAP domain-containing protein 1-like, with no coding region annotated. The record is from RefSeq and is a predicted model, not a curated record. NCBI's taxonomy places the organism in Eukaryota, Metazoa, Arthropoda, Insecta, Lepidoptera, Pieridae. The transcript is spliced from 3 exons.
UCAGUGAAAGUGGAACUAAAACGUACCUAGUGAUUAUAUUCUCUUUGAGUGGAACCACGGCUGCUAAAAAUGCCAUCUUGUAGCGUGUUUUCUUGUAAGAAGAGGUCGAAAACAUCAAGUUUACUAAAGGAUAACGUUACCUUUCAUCUGUAAGCAUUAUUACAUCAAAAGAUUGAGUAAUAAUACAACAAAUUUCAAUAUAUUACAAAGUAUUGUUGAUACUUGAUGCUAAAGUGCUGCCACAAGGCCGGUUGCAGAGCUUCACCGACCAUCAGUGCGUAGAUUUCCUAAAUAUGCAAUGUUUCGGCAUGUUUGGAUCCAAGCUUGUGGGAAUCACACAUCCUGGACUCCGAAACGGACUAGCACAAUUUGCUCAGAGCAUUUUGAUACCACCUGUUUUAUAAAACAAUCUAAUAAUAGGAGGAGAUUGAAACAGGAUGCUGUACCAACUUUGAAAUUACCAAAGGAUAAAGAUAAUGAACCUGAACCUGGAACGUUUUCACCUAAGAUAAUAAAGGUUGAAACAUUGGGAAAUUCUUCACUUCCUCAAAUUCAAGUGUUCAUAAGUACUCAAGAUCAGACACAUACGGCUCCGCCAGAAAAUCGUUACCCACAGUUGACUGAUUCACCAAUAAAUGCAAAGUUAAAAAAUACUAUACGGAUGAAAAAUAUAAAAAUAAAACAACUUCAAGCACAGAUAAGAUACUUAAAACAAAAAUAUGCUGAGAUGAAAGAAUUGGUUAAUGAAUUUUCACAGGCUGAACGUUGAACGCUGAAGUUAGCACGACUUGUGAUGGAAGCUUUUCACAUAGUUUGUGAAACUGGUGACAAAAUCAAAGCAUUAUCUUUGAGACGGCACUAAACCAAAUCUUGACAUGGCUGAAGGCGCUGUUGUUUAGAUGAAAACAAUUUAGAAGCAACAGACAUUAUUUCUUUUUAAUUUCCUGUCAUAUGCGAAAAUUUGAUUUUAAAGCAUUUGCUAAAAUUAAUUAAUUUUUUAUUUGAUAUCCUUGAUUCAUAAACUUGAGACAAAGAACUUAAACAAGCCGUGAAUUAAAAAAUUAACUAGGCUGUCUUUGCAAAAUAAGAUGAAGCAAAAGCAGUUGUUUCUGUUGAAUUUGGAGAAUGACGUUGAAAAUCAUGAAAUUGUUGAUUACUUAAUCAACAGGGUCAAUUUAUCAAAAAUGCUUCAAUAUACAGGAUUUCUUGUAGGAUUUCUUGUAUGUAUCGAAAAUUCAAAACGCCUAUUUGAAAACUUUCAAAUUUUCAAGACAAGAAUCAAUAGUGAUUCAGUGCAAUAAUAAUUAAUGUAAAUUUAUAUAAAUAAACUAUGUAAAUGAACGA